This 433-nucleotide ribosomal RNA is filed under the name uncultured bacterium. RNAcentral describes it as "partial 16S ribosomal RNA". It matches the Rfam family "Bacterial small subunit ribosomal RNA", at positions 29 to 507 of the family's 1533-position model. The record is from RNAcentral.
AGCGAACGCUGGCGGCAGGCCUAACACAUGCAAGUCGAACGAACUCUUCGGAGUUAGUGGCGGACGGGUGAGUAACACGUGGGAACGUGCCUUUAGGUUCGGAAUAACUCAGGGAAACUUGUGCUAAUACCGAAUGUGCCCUUCAGGGGAAAGAUUUAUCGCCUUUAGAGCGGCCCGCGUCUGAUUAGCUAGUUGGUGAGGUAAAGGCUCACCAAGGCGACUAUCAGUAGCUGGUCUGAGAGGAUGAUCAGCCACAUUGGGACUGAGACACGGCCCAAACUCCUACGGGAGGCAGCAGUGGGGAAUCUUGCGCAAUGGGCGAAAGCCUGACGCAGCCAUGCCGCGUGAAUGAUGAAGGUCUUAGGAUUGUAAAAUUCUUUCACCGGGGACGAUAAUGACGGUACCCGGAGAAGAAGCCCCGGCUAACUUCGUG